AAAGCUUUUGGAAGUUUUGAUCUUCUUGACAACACAGACGUCCAUCUGCACUUCCCAGCUGGAGCUGUCACAAAAGAUGGACCAUCUGCUGGAGUUACCAUAGUAACCUGUCUCGCCUCACUUUUUAGUGGGCGGCUGGUACGUUCAGAUGUAGCCAUGACUGGAGAAAUUACACUGAGAGGUCUUGUUCUUCCAGUGGGUGGAAUUAAAGACAAAGUGCUGGCGGCACACAGAGCGGGACUGAAGCAAGUCAUUAUUCCUCGGAGAAAUGAAAAAGACCUUGAGGGAAUCCCAGGCAACGUACGACAGGAUUUAAGUUUUGUCACAGCAAGCUGCCUGGAUGAGGUUCUUAAUGCAGCUUUUGAUGGUGGCUUUACUGUCAAGACCAGACCUGGUCUGUUAAAUAGCAAACUAGGAAGGAGAUAUCAAAAAGGUCUGAAUAGACAACAGGCAAAUCUGCUUCCACCUACCAAAAGAGUUUUAGGUUGGCAGACAGAUGGGUGCCUUAUUUUCUGUGAAACUGAAGUUUUAAACACUGGCCAGAAAAUGUUUGAUUGCCAUUUCAACACAUGGAAAUAGUUACAUUGAUGCCUAAAUUGCCAUUUUCUGCAAAAAGCUGUGCAAUGCUGGUGUCAAAGACUAGACAGUCGCUAUUCAUAAUGGCUGUUGCAAUUCCUUCAUGAAUAGAUCGAGGAGUCGCUUCCCAAGUCAAUCGUCGCCUAUGACCAUUUAGCUCAAGUCGGUAAGCAAAAUUUUCAGCUUGCUUGCGUGUUCCUAUCAGCUGUACGAUUGCGAAGAACUGCUGGUGACCAUCGUAUU
Molecule: small RNA, 819 nt
Filed under: Pan troglodytes (chimpanzee)
Lineage: Eukaryota; Metazoa; Chordata; Mammalia; Primates; Hominidae
Description: processed transcript
Source: RNAcentral